GCAGUCGCCACGGGAAUACGGAGGAUGCGAGCGUUAUCCGGAUUUAUUGGGUUUAAAGGGUGCGUAGGCGGCCUGUUAAGUCAGCGGUGAAAUCUAGGAGCUUAACUCCUAAAUUGCCAUUGAUACUGGCGGGCUUGAGUGUAGAUGAGGUAGGCGGAAUGCGUGGUGUAGCGGUGGAAUGCAUAGAUAUCACGCAGAACUCCGAUUGCGAAGGCAGCUUACUAAGGUACAACUGACGCUGAAGCACGAAAGCGUGGGUAUCAAACAGGAUUAGAUACCCCGGUAGUCCCUGUCUCUUAUAC
Molecule: ribosomal RNA, 302 nt
Filed under: uncultured bacterium
Lineage: Bacteria
Description: partial 16S ribosomal RNA
Rfam family: Bacterial small subunit ribosomal RNA
Source: RNAcentral